GGCGAACGGGUGAGUAACACGUGAGUAACCUGCCCUUGACUUUGGGAUAACUUCAGGAAACUGGGGCUAAUACCGGAUAGGAGCUCCUGCUGCAUGGUGGGGGUUGGGAAAGUUUCGGCGGUUGGGGAUGGACUCGCGGCUUAUCAGCUUGCUGGUGGGGUAGUGGCUUACCAAGGCUUUGACGGGUAGCCGGCCUGAGAGGGUGACCGGCCACAUUGGGACUGAGAUACGGCCCAG
This 237-nucleotide ribosomal RNA is filed under the name uncultured Actinomycetales bacterium. Its description in RNAcentral is "partial 16S ribosomal RNA". It matches the Rfam family "Bacterial small subunit ribosomal RNA", at positions 97 to 334 of the family's 1533-position model. The record is from RNAcentral. Lineage: Bacteria; Bacillati; Actinomycetota; Actinomycetes; Actinomycetales.